Molecule: ribosomal RNA, 888 nt
Filed under: Fusarium ornamentatum
Lineage: Eukaryota; Fungi; Ascomycota; Sordariomycetes; Hypocreales; Nectriaceae
Description: LSU rRNA
Rfam family: Eukaryotic large subunit ribosomal RNA
Source: RNAcentral
UAUCAAUAAGCGGAGGAAAAGAAACCAACAGGGAUUGCCUCAGUAACGGCGAGUGAAGCGGCAACAGCUCAAAUUUGAAAUCUGGCUCUCGGGCCCGAGUUGUAAUUUGUAGAGGAUGCUUUUGGUGCGGUGCCUUCCGAGUUCCCUGGAACGGGACGCCAUAGAGGGUGAGAGCCCCGUCUGGUUGGACGCCAAUCCUCUGUAAAGCUCCUUCGACGAGUCGAGUAGUUUGGGAAUGCUGCUCUAAAUGGGAGGUAUAUGUCUUCUAAAGCUAAAUACCGGCCAGAGACCGAUAGCGCACAAGUAGAGUGAUCGAAAGAUGAAAAGAACUUUGAAAAGAGAGUUAAAAAGUACGUGAAAUUGUUGAAAGGGAAGCGCUUGUGACCAGACUUGGGCUUGGUUGAUCAUCCAGGGUUCUCCCUGGUGCACUCUUCCGGCCCAGGCCAGCAUCAGUUCGCCCCGGGGGAAAAAGGCUUCGGGAAUGUGGCUCUCUCCGGGGAGUGUUAUAGCCCGCUGCGUAAUACCCUGUGGCGGACUGAGGUUCGCGCAUUCGCAAGGAUGCUGGCGUAAUGGUCAUCAGUGACCCGUCUUGAAACACGGACCAAGGAGUCGUCUUCGUAUGCGAGUGUUCGGGUGUCAAACCCCUACGCGAAAUGAAAGUGAACGCAGGUGAGAGCUUCGGCGCAUCAUCGACCGAUCCUGAUGUUUUCGGAUGGAUUUGAGUAAGAGCAUACGGGGCCGGACCCGAAAGAAGGUGAACUAUGCCUGUGUAGGGUGAAGCCAGAGGAAACUCUGGUGGAGGCUCGCAGCGGUUCUGACGUGCAAAUCGAUCGUCAAACAUGGGCAUGGGGGCGAAAGACUAAUCGAACCUUCUAGUAGCUGGUUUCC